RNAcentral lists this ribosomal RNA (272 nucleotides) under uncultured prokaryote. RNAcentral's name for it is "partial 16S ribosomal RNA". It matches the Rfam family "Bacterial small subunit ribosomal RNA", at positions 524 to 796 of the family's 1533-position model. The record is from RNAcentral.
UACAGAGGGUGCGAGCGUUGAUCGGAGUUACUGGGCGUAAAGGGCGCGUAGGCGGUUUAAUGAGUGUGCUGUGAAAGCCCCGGGCUUAACCUGGGAAGUGCAGUGCAAACGAUUAGACUGGAGUAGAUGAGAGGGUGGUGGAAUUUCCGGUGUAGCGGUGAAAUGCGUAGAGAUCGGAAGGAACGUCAAUGGCGAAGGCAGCCACCUGGCAUCAUACUGACGCUGAGGCGCGAAAGCGUGGGGAUCGAACAGGAUUAGAUACCCUGUAGUCC